Molecule: ribosomal RNA, 116 nt
Filed under: Sinocyclocheilus grahami
Lineage: Eukaryota; Metazoa; Chordata; Actinopteri; Cypriniformes; Cyprinidae
Source: RNAcentral
GCCGGCAGCCAUAUCACCCUGUAGCCCAAGACUGGUUGCCCACUGAAGCUAAGCAGGGCUGAGCUGGUCAGUACCUGGAUGGGAGAUCUCCUGGGAAAACUAGGUUGCUGUUGGAA